Ictalurus punctatus (channel catfish) is the source of this 1652-nucleotide long non-coding RNA. RefSeq lists it as uncharacterized. Lineage: Eukaryota; Metazoa; Chordata; Actinopteri; Siluriformes; Ictaluridae. The record is from RefSeq and is a predicted model, not a curated record. The transcript is spliced from 3 exons.
UACUACUGUACUAAACAGUAUGUGAAGAGAGCACGCGAGCAUUGAAUGUGUACUAAUCUACCAUACUGUUUAGUACAGUAGUGUGUGUUUGAACCGAGCUGUACAGAGGAACCUGUCGUGGAGCACCAUGAUGCCGGGACUCCGGGUUUAUUCGCUUGGUUUCUUCAUAUUAAUAUUCGUCGGUGAAGCGAUAGCAAACGAAAGGCCCUAUGCGGUGCUCCAAAAUCAAAAUUUAGUGUUGCUCAUUAGCGUGCUGUCGGUUCUCCUGGUGGCUGUGCUGGUCAUGGCAGUGUGUGUGUACAAGCCGCUGAGAACACGGUGACUGAGGAGUUUUGCAAUAUUUGGUUUGUCUGUGUUUUAUUUCCUGUUAAGGUCUUCUUUUUUUGGUUUAAGAUGAAAUUUAAGUUAAUGUUAAGUUUAUGUUAAGUUUUAGUUUGUUAUGAAAGCCCUGCUGGUGAGCAGAUGAUGGAGGAAGAGGACCUGGGACGUGAGGAGCGGAGCAUCGGGUGGAACAAUGGACGACUUCAGCUGGCCUUCAGUGUUUCAUUCAGGAGCCACUCUGUGGGAAAAUGUCUUUACACUAUAAUCAUGGGUAAUUCAGCAUGAUGAGGACUUUGAGGCCAUACGUCGCUUUUUUUGGUGAAAUUAAAUCAGGGAAACCAUUUAUGAAUUCUCUCGUGAAUCCAGAUUUGAAUCAUUUCUAUGUUUUAGUAAUUUCCCUGCUCUAACGCACCUGACUAAACUAUAUUCAUCUUUUUCCUGCUCCAGAUGUGGAAUAUGUUUAAAAAUGUACAUUUUCUUUAACAUUUUGUUCAAAACUCAGCAGAAAUUGUUUCCGUGGUUAAAUGUAGCUAGCCGACGUAACGCAAAAUGUUUGUAGUGUUAGUUAGCUAAGAAGAAUCUUCAGUCUUCUCACUGUUUCACACAAGAGCUAAAAAUGAGCUCUUUUAGUGCAGGUUUAUAAUUUACAUGCUUGUAUGUCUAGUACAUUGUUUCUACAUAUAUGUAAAUUGUUGUAUUGAUAUAUAGGCAUUCCACAACAUUAAAUGUAACUACGAAUAGAUAAAUAGACAGGUAAACGUACAGCGCCGUUAAUGCGGGGGUUCAUGGUAAUAUUAUAAGCCAUGAUAGAAGGUUAGAGUGGUAUACUGAUGUGAAAAUCUAAUCUCACGAUGAGAGUUUAGACGGUGAGUUAGCGCAGGGAAAGUCUGACGUUAUAGCAUAAUAGAUGGACUGCGGUAAUCUCAUUGAGUUCAACCUGAUGUCGUUAUGAUGUUUAGUGUAUAUGGAGUUGAACACGAGCCUGUGUUUGAAUCAGGGGAAAGGCGGAGAAGCGCCAUGGCGACUGCGUCUGUUUCGAUUUGUUUGAACUGCUGUUGAAUUGUUAUUAUUUACACCUGCACUUUUAUAUUUCUGUCCUCAGUGUUAUUUUACGUAUUUAUUAUCAGAUGUUUGAGUGAGUUUUUUUUAGUUGUGAAAUAAAGCUCUUGUAAAACUGGAGAUUUACAGCCCACUGUACGUUUACAUGUUAUUGGGACGGGAUAAUAUUUCCGUGGGUCAAUAACCCGACGAUGAAACCAUCAGUGUCGAGCGACGAAUUAGAUCAUGAGGUUUCAUUGUAAACAUGAUGCGAGGGAAACUAUCACACGCUU